GAUGAACGCUGGCGGCGUGCCUAAUACAUGCAAGUCGAGCGAACGGACGAGAAGCUUGCUUCUCUGAUGUUAGCGGCGGACGGGUGAGUAACACGUGGAUAACCUACCUAUAAGACUGGGAUAACUUCGGGAAACCGGAGCUCAUACCGGAUAAUAUUUUGAACCGCAUGGUUCAAAAGUGAAAGACGGUCUUGCUGUCACUUAUAGAUGGAUCCGCGCUGCAUUAGCUAGUUGGUAAGGUAACGGCUUACCAAGGCAACGAUGCAUAGCCGACCUGAGAGGGUGACCGGCCACACUGGAACUGAGACACGGUCCAGACUCCUACGGGAGGCAGCAGUAGGGAAUCUUCCGCAAUGGGCGAAAGCCUGACGGAGCAAUGCCGCGUGAGUGAUGAAGGUCUUCGGAUCGUAAAACUCUGUUAUUAGGGAAGAACAUAUGUGCACGUAACUGUGCACAUCUUGACGGUACCGAAUCAGAAAGCAACGGCUAACUACGUG
This 497-nucleotide ribosomal RNA is filed under the name uncultured bacterium. Its description in RNAcentral is "partial 16S ribosomal RNA". It matches the Rfam family "Bacterial small subunit ribosomal RNA", at positions 28 to 507 of the family's 1533-position model. The record is from RNAcentral.